RNAcentral lists this non-coding RNA (24 nucleotides) under Mus musculus (house mouse). The record is from RNAcentral. Lineage: Eukaryota; Metazoa; Chordata; Mammalia; Rodentia; Muridae.
UAGAGACUCACGUGUCAGAGGUCC